This 253-nucleotide ribosomal RNA is filed under the name uncultured bacterium. Its description in RNAcentral is "partial 16S ribosomal RNA". It matches the Rfam family "Bacterial small subunit ribosomal RNA", at positions 524 to 776 of the family's 1533-position model. The record is from RNAcentral.
UACGGAGGGGGCUAGCGUUGUUCGGAAUUACUGGGCGUAAAGCGUACGUGGGCGGCUUUGUAAGUUAGAGGUGAAAGCCUGGUGCUCAACACCAGAAUUGCCUUUAAGACUGCAUCGCUUGAACGUCGGAGAGGUGAGUGGAAUUCCGAGUGUAGAGGUGAAAUUCGUAGAUAUUCGGAAGAACACCAGUGGCGAAGGCGGCUCACUGGACGACUGUUGACGCUGAGACACGAAAGCGUGGGUAGCAAACAGG